UACGUAGGCAGCGAGCGUUGUUCGGAAUUACUGGGCGUAAAGAGUGUGUAGGCGGUGCUCUAAGUUCGGUGUGAAAUCUCCUGGCUCAACUGGGAGGGUGCGCCGGAAACUGGAGUGCUUGAGCGUGGGAGAGGAAAGCGGAAUUCCUGGUGUAGCGGUGAAAUGCGUAGAUAUCAGGAGGAACACCUGUGGUGUAGACGGCUUUCUGGACCAUAGCUGACGCUGAGACACGGAAAAGCGUGGGUAGCAAACAGG
Molecule: ribosomal RNA, 255 nt
Filed under: uncultured bacterium
Lineage: Bacteria
Description: partial 16S ribosomal RNA
Rfam family: Bacterial small subunit ribosomal RNA
Source: RNAcentral